UACGAAGGGGGCUAGCGUUGCUCGGAAUCACUGGGCGUAAAGCGCACGUAGGCGGAUCUUUAAGUCAGGGGUGAAAUCCCAAGGCUCAACCUUGGAACUGCCUUUGAUACUGGGGAUCUCGAGUCCGGAAGAGGUGAGUGGAACUGCGAGUAUAGAGGUGAAAUUCGUAGAUAUUCGCAAGAACACCAGUGGCGAAGGCGGCUCACUGGUCCGGUACUGACGCUGAGGUGCGAAAGCGUGGGGAGCAAACAGG
This 253-nucleotide ribosomal RNA is filed under the name uncultured bacterium. Its description in RNAcentral is "partial 16S ribosomal RNA". It matches the Rfam family "Bacterial small subunit ribosomal RNA", at positions 524 to 776 of the family's 1533-position model. The record is from RNAcentral.